GAAUUAACGUGGCAGGUUAGGAGAAUUAACGUGGCCGGUUAGGAGAAUUAACGUGGCAGGUUAGGAGAAUUAACGUGGCCGGUUAGGAGAAUUAACGUGGCCGGUUAGGAGAAUUAACGUGGCAGGUUAGGAGAAUUAACGUGGCCGGUUAGGAGAAUUAACGUGGCCGGUUAGGAGAAUUAACGUGGCAGGUUAGGAGAAUUAACGUGGCAGGUUAGGAGAAUUAACGUGGCAGGUUAGGAGAAUUAACGUGGCAGGUUAGGAGAAUUAACGUGGCAGGUUAGGAGAAUUAACGUGGCAGGUUAGGAGAAUUAACGUGGCAGGUUAGGAGAAUUAACGUGGCAGGUUAGGAGAAUUAACGUGGCAGGUUAGGAGAAUUAACGUGGCCGGUUAGGAGAAUUAACGUGGCCGGUUAGGAGAAUUAACGUGGCAGGUUAGGAGAAUUAACGUGGCCGGUUAGGAGAAUUAACGUGGCCGGUUAGGAGAAUUAACGAAUUAACGUGGCCGGUUAGGAGAAUUAACGAAUUAACGUGGCCGGUUAGGAGAAUUAACGUGGCCGGUUAGGAGAAUUAACGUGGCCGGUUAGGAGAAUUAACGUGGCCGGUUAGGAGAAUUAACGUGGCCGGUUAGGAGAAUUAACGUGGCCGGUUAGGAGAAUUAA
Oncorhynchus keta (chum salmon) is the source of this 661-nucleotide long non-coding RNA. RefSeq lists it as uncharacterized. The transcript is spliced from 6 exons. The record is from RefSeq and is a predicted model, not a curated record. NCBI's taxonomy places the organism in Eukaryota, Metazoa, Chordata, Actinopteri, Salmoniformes, Salmonidae.